UAGUACGGCGAGUGAGAGGGAAGAGCCCAAGAUUGAAAGCUGGCGUCUUCGGCGUCCGCAUUGUAAUCUCAAGAAGUGUUUUCCGCUUCGGACCAAGCCUAAGUCCCCUGGAAAGGGGCAUCAUAGAGGGUGAUAAUCCCGUACAUGGCUUGGAGCGCCCGAGGCUUUGUGAUACGCUUUCUAAGAGUCGAGUUGUUUGGGAAUGCAGCUCAAAAUGGGUGGUAAAUGCCAUCUAAGGCUAAAUAUUGGGGAGAGACCGAUAGCGAACAAGUACAGUGAUGGAAAGAUGAAAAGAACUUUGAAAAGAGAGUUAAACAGUACGUGAAAUUGCCAAAAGGGAAGGGUAGGAGGUCAGAGAUGCGGCCUGGGAUUCAGCCUUGCUUUUGCUUGGUGUUUUUCCCAGAUUGCAGGCCAACGUCGGUUUUGGGCACUGGAGAAGGGUAGGAGGAACGUGGCACCCCUCGGGGUGUGUUAUAGCCUCCUACUGGAUACAGCGACCGAGACCGAGGACAGCAGCGUACUCGCAAGAGCGGGCCUUCGGGCACCUUUACGCUUAGGGCGUUGGCAUAAU
RNAcentral lists this ribosomal RNA (571 nucleotides) under uncultured Pseudozyma. RNAcentral describes it as "eukaryotic LSU rRNA". It matches the Rfam family "Eukaryotic large subunit ribosomal RNA", at positions 81 to 635 of the family's 3401-position model. The record is from RNAcentral. Lineage: Eukaryota; Fungi; Basidiomycota; Ustilaginomycetes; Ustilaginales; Ustilaginaceae.